AGCAUCGGCACAGGAUGCUGUCACUGCACCCACAAUGGCGCCUAUGAUGCCCGGGAGGCCGUGCAGGUUGUGAAUGCCACACGUGUCCUGGAUCCGCAGCCGUGACUCCAGGAAUGGCUGGAGAGGUUUGCAUGUCUGAUGGUCUCCCCGUGACGUACGCCGACAUCAGGCCUGUUCGUGUGCAAACCCCCGAGCCAGAGCCCGUGGGCCUACGACGGCUCCAGGCCUACCCGCACCGGGUACUGCGUUGCCGGCUGCGGGGAUGAUUUCAGUCCGUCUCUACAACAAGCCCAGGAGAAGUCAUGUAGGAUCCAUGAAAAACCAGGAAAGUCUAAGAACUGGCCUACACCGCAGAAGCCUGGAGAGCCUUGACAACUCAGUGCUGAGCGUGUGGUACCACGGAAGUGAGGAUGCAGAGGAAGAAGGAUGAAAGAAGGGGAGAAGAAUAUUCUUUGAGUACCAACUGUGUUCCAGGCACUGUUCUAGGUGCUGGGAGGUCAAUCGUUGUCCACAUGGAAGUUGCUGGGGGGAGGGGCUGCCUGACAAAAGCAAACCAAUAGAGAAGUACACGAUGAUUCCAGGCCACAUCCCCAUCCUGACCUGGUACUUCCUGUGACCACCAACGGGCUGGAAUUCUGGGCUCAUCCCGAGACCAGGGUUCAAGAAACUGGCUGCUCAGAGCCUCAGACUGUACCACCGCCCCACGCCCAUGGGGAAGUCUCCGGUGUGGCCAGCCUGCCGGGAAGGGACAGGAUGCAGGCCUUUCUGCAAAGUUCUCUCCUCUGUGACCUCUUGUGGGAUCGAAAGUAAGGCCACCAAUAGUGGGAAACUAGACAUCUCACUCUCUCGGCCUGGAGGGCUGCUCCAACAAGGACACAGCAUGUCGUCCGUGCUACGCCUGCUAAAAACACUUACCGUCAAUUUAAUCACGCGGAAACAGCAGACAGACCCAAAUCGAGGGACGUCCUGCAAGACGACUGGCCUGGGCUUGCAAAUUUGUAAACAAGAAGUUUGGAGGAAAGCCCUGCGGGGCUGUCAUUGGAAGUCUCCAGUGUGCCUCCCCAAGGCCUGGGGCGCAAGCCUGGAGUCAUAGGCUCAAGGGGAGUCUCCCACACACCCUCUGCCUGAUUACAGUUCACACUCCGCAUGCCCCGCGGGGCCCUCUGUGUUCCCUACGGUCUAGAGGCCAGCACGUCCCCAGUGGUUUGCACACAUCUAGAUGAUGCACCAUGGUCAGACGGGGGUGGAGUGAAAAGGGAACCCUACUUGGAAAGAUUACAGUUCCUGUCUCCAGUCCCCAUGGUACGACAGACUCCUGCACUUGACUGUGUAUUUGAAAUAAGAGUAGCAGCAUGAUUUUAAAGACAAAGAAGCAGAACCUAAGCUUGUAAUCCGAACAUGGCAGGUGGAUCUGCGUGCCCAGGAGGGGCCCUUGGCAGAAGUGAGAGCAGUGAGAAAGAUCUCUGAACACCUUCCUGCUCCCUCCCAUCUCGGCUUAAUGUGGCUCCAGGAGCUGAGCAGUGACAGAGACCUACCUAAUCACACCUGUCCAGCACAUGAAGAGCUGUUUGCCAACAGAGCGAGAAGACGAGAUUUUAAUCUUCAUUUUUUAAAUCCUUGGGGAUAAAGCAAAUGAGCCUGGAUUAAAAGCAGCAGGAAGGAUCUGGGCUCCAAAUCAGGAAGAAUUGCCAAACCGGCAGUGAGAACGCGGAACUUGGGCAUGACCCGGCAGGAGCGGUGGGACAGGCCCCUACUGGGAAGUCCUGAGCACAAACGCCAUUCCUGAGUCAGCUGGAUUUAUGGGCCGAGGCUGAGCCUAACCCCGGAGGGAUGGCCUACCACCGUUGCCGGGCCAGGCUUCGUGGAGACGCAAAGGAGACGCUCACGCCUUCAGUAAAGAGGGCACGCGGGGUCCCUGAGAGCUAGCCUUCUCCCCGCUUCUGUGGUCCUGAGCAGCCGCUGUGGUAUAAGUCACUCCAUGAUGUCUCCUGAGUUUCAGUGUGGCUGGCUUCUGGAUUGUGGCCACAUGUGUCUGGAGAACUAUGUUCCUGGUUCAAGUCCCAGAGAAAGGCAGGAAGGUGGGCGGACCCAGGUGGCUAAGGACGAGUUUGGGCUGGGCACAGGAUGGGGAGAUCAGGUGGUAAAUUACUCCGAGCUCUUGGCUGCAAACAACAGACCCCGCUGUGGCGAGUGUGAACAGAAAAGGCUUUCGGGAGGCCCUGAGAAUCGCGGUGAGGACGCCAGGCCAGGUUGGAGAGCUGGGACAAGGCAGAGCUGCUGUGAGGAGACGUCACUGCCAUCCCGAUGGAGUGUGGGCCACGUGUGGCUGCUUGCAGGGCUGUUGCUGCCUAGGGCAGUGGGGGCUUCUGACACCCUCCCCCCAAACUGGCCGUCACUUCCCAACUUGUGAUCGGUGGACACCAGUCACACGUCUAUGCCCCUACUGCAAAGGAAGCCGGGAAGGUACACCUUGAUGUCCCAUGUUCCCCAAGGGAACUUUUCCUGCUCCAGCCCUGAGAUGAACCAUUUCUGCAAGAGCUUGGGUUCCUUUUUUCAAGUACUUUAAAGGCAUUCUGCAAGUUAUACAAACCACGUAGCUCAGCUGGAUACAGCCCAUGGCAUGCUAGUUUGCCACCUUAGCUCUUAAGUUUCUGCAGUUUAAUGCUGUAAGACGCAAGCAAUCAAACGUCCGUGCAUGUGGUUGUUGCCCUUAUUGGUGGGCCAUUUGUUCUUAAACCUAACACAUGUCUGUGCAGGACCCACCUGUCCAUUGACUACUAUGCUCACUGGAGCCUGUGCGUUUCCUCGUUUCAUGCAGAAUUCUGGGGAAUGAUUUUCUCAUAAUCUAGGUUUGCCUUGUCAGCUCCCACGUUUGGUCCCGCUACUUUAGGAUUAUACUGUGUCCCUCUCGCACCUUCACGACCCAGAGCAUUUCAGAAUAGCUGACUGCUUCAAGCCCCUAAUCGUGACACGGCAAGACCUCCAUGAUAUACUGUUAACUGGGUGGCAAGGAGGAGGGCCUUGGAAAUUGGCAUUUUCAUCUCAUGCUAUUGAGAAUAUAAAUUUGUAUCACUUUCCAGUAUUAUUCGGGACUCCCUCACUUAUAAGUGACAGCAACCCAUACAAAACUAGCUUAAACAAACACACAAAGGAUGUUCAGUGACUCAAUUAACUGGGAAGACCGAGGGAGGGAAGGCUUCAGGCAUAGCUGGAUUCAGGGGCUCUAUCUUUGUGACUUCUGAUCCAAAAGGGGGAGAAAGAGCCCCCUGUGACAGUAGUUUAUAUAGAGUCUCAGGGAAUACUUUGAUUAAUUCUCUCUGGAUCUUAUGCCCAUCUCUGAACUGAACACUGCAGCCAGGGUUAAGAGAGGACUCUGGCCACUUCAAGUAGAGGAGUGGGGGAAGCCUGGCUCCCUACAGGAAAAACAGAAGGCUAUUAUUAGAAGACGGGGGGAAAGAAUUCUGAACAGGGGAGCACAUCGGAUGUCCAUUUCAUUUAGCAAAAAAAGCCAACAAAGAUUUUGAAACUUUAAAACGAAGAUUUUACCUUCCAUCUAAGAGAAUAAUUUCACAUCAAAGAAUUCACGAACAAAAAGAUCACGGACAAGGGCAGACUUGUGUCCAAGGAUGUUUGUAAUCACAGUACUGUGUAUAAUAGCAAAAUAUUUUAAGAAUCUAAAUGUCCAUCUAGAGGAGAUCAAACAACUUAGCGCCCAUCCAUGUUACCGGGAUGCUAGGCAGCUCUUGAAAAUGAUCAUCAUUUCCUUGUAUUUCAUGACCAGGAAAGACCCCCAUGAUCUACUGCUAAGUGGAAAAGACAGUCUACAAAAUAGCACACAUGUUAUAAUCUAAUUUUUUUUUAAAUUGGCUCUAUACCUGGGGCGCCUAGGUGGCGCAGUCGGUUAAGCGUCCGACUUCAGCCAGG
Long non-coding RNA from Felis catus (domestic cat), 3924 nucleotides. RefSeq lists it as uncharacterized. The record is from RefSeq and is a predicted model, not a curated record. The transcript has 14 exons. NCBI's taxonomy places the organism in Eukaryota, Metazoa, Chordata, Mammalia, Carnivora, Felidae.